AACGCGAAGAACCUUACCUACACUUGACAUCCUCGGAACUUUCUAGAGAUAGAUUGGUGCCUUCGGGAACCGAGUGACAGGUGCUGCAUGGCUGUCGUCAGCUCGUGUCGUGAGAUGUUGGGUUAAGUCCCGUAACGAGCGCAACCCUUAUCCUUAUUUGCCAGCGGUUCGGCCGGGAACUCUAAGGAGACUGCCGAUGACAAAUCGGAGGAAGGUGGGGACGACGUCAAGUCAUCAUGGCCCUUACGUGUAGGGCUACACACGUGCUACAAUGGUCGGUACAAACGGUCGCGAACCCGCGAGGGGAAGCCAAUCCGAGAAAGCCGAUCGUAGUCCGGAUUGGGGUCUGCAACUCGACCCCAUGAAGUCGGAAUCGCUAGUAAUCGUGAAUCAGAAUGUCACGGUGAAUACGUUCCCGGGUCUUGUACACACCG
Molecule: ribosomal RNA, 434 nt
Filed under: uncultured bacterium
Lineage: Bacteria
Description: bacterial SSU rRNA
Rfam family: Bacterial small subunit ribosomal RNA
Source: RNAcentral